This 497-nucleotide ribosomal RNA is filed under the name uncultured bacterium. Its description in RNAcentral is "partial 16S ribosomal RNA". It matches the Rfam family "Bacterial small subunit ribosomal RNA", at positions 28 to 507 of the family's 1533-position model. The record is from RNAcentral.
GAUGAACGCUGGCGGCGUGCCUAAUACAUGCAAGUCGAGCGAACAGACGAGGAGCUUGCUCCUCUGACGUUAGCGGCGGACGGGUGAGUAACACGUGGAUACCCUACCUAUAAGACUGGGAUCACUUCGGGAAACCGGAGCUAAUACCGGAUAAUAUAUUGAACCGCAUGGUUCAAUAGUGAACGACGGUUUUGCUGUCACUUCUAGAUGGAUCCGCGCCGCAUUAGCUAGUUGGUAAGGUAACGGCUUACCAAGGCAACGAUGCGUAGCCGACCUGAGAGGGUGGUCGGCCACACUGGAACUGAGACACGGUCCAGACUCCUACGGGAGGCACCAGUAGGGAAUCUUCCGCAACGGGCGAAAGCUUGACGGAGCAACGCCGCGUGAGUGAUGAAGGUCUUCGGAUCGUAAAACUCGGUUAUUAGGGAAGAACAAAUGUGUAAGUAAAUAUGCACGUCUUGACGGUACCGAAUCAGAAAGCCACGGCUAACUACGUG